RNAcentral lists this ribosomal RNA (753 nucleotides) under uncultured Eubacteriales bacterium. RNAcentral's name for it is "bacterial SSU rRNA". It matches the Rfam family "Bacterial small subunit ribosomal RNA", at positions 55 to 833 of the family's 1533-position model. Lineage: Bacteria; Bacillati; Bacillota; Clostridia; Eubacteriales. The record is from RNAcentral.
AUGCAAGUCGAGCGGGGGUAGCAAUACCCUAGCGGCGGACGGGUGAGUAACACGUGGGUAACCUACCUUACACAGGGGAAUAACAGAUAGAAAUAUCUGCUAAAACCGCAUACGCUCGAUUUUAGGCACUCUUUAGUCGAGGAAAUAUUAAUAGGUGUAAGCUGGGCCCGCGUCUGAUUAGCUAGUUGGUGAGGUAACGGCCCACCAAGGCAACGAUCAGUAGCCGACCUGAGAGGGUGAUCGGCCACAUUGGGACUGAGACACGGCCCAAACUCCUACGGGAGGCAGCAGUGGGGAAUAUUGCGCAAUGGGGGAAACCCUGACGCAGCAACGCCGCGUGAAGGAAGAAGGCUUUCGGGUUGUAAACUUCUAUCGACGAGGACGAGACAAGACGGUACUCGGGUAAGAAGCCCCGGCUAACUACGUGCCAGCAGCCGCGGUAAUACGUAGGGGGCAAGCGUUAUCCGGAAUCACUGGGCGUAAAGGGUGAGUAGGCGGUUAAAUAAGUCAUAUGUGAAAUCCCCGGGCUCAACCCGGGAAUGGCAUAAGAAACUGAUUGACUAGAGUGCAGGAGAGGUAAGCGGAAUUCCUAGUGUAGCGGUGAAAUGCGUAGAUAUUAGGAAGAACACCAGUGGCGAAGGCGGCUUACUGGACUGAAACUGACGCUGAUACACGAAAGCGUGGGGAGCGAACAGGAUUAGAUACCCUGGUAGUCCACGCUGUAAACGAUGAAUGCUAGGUGUCGGGGCGAGA